This 253-nucleotide ribosomal RNA is filed under the name uncultured bacterium. RNAcentral describes it as "partial 16S ribosomal RNA". It matches the Rfam family "Bacterial small subunit ribosomal RNA", at positions 524 to 776 of the family's 1533-position model. The record is from RNAcentral.
UACGUAGGGGGCAAGCGUUGUCCGGAUUCAUUGGGCGUAAAGAGCGUGUAGGCGGCCAGGUAGGUCGGUUGUGAAAACUGGAGGCUCAACCUUCAGAGGUCGACCGAAACCAUCUGGCUAGAGUCCGGGAGAGGAGAGUGGAAUUCCCGGUGUAGCGGUGAAAUGCGCAGAUAUCAGGAAGAACACCCGUGGCGAAAGCGGCUCUCUGGAACGGUACUGACGCUGAGACGCGAAAGCGUGGGGAGCGAACAGG